GUGGCCUACAAUGCAAAGCCACAUCUGACAACCCGGAACCAUACCGCCAUCACCAGGCUCCACACAUCAAACCCAACAGAGUGCUACGGCGUGAAAGAGGCUUUCCAUACCUGGGGAAAUCCUCAUCCUGCCACUCCUCCUUUAGCUCCACCCCCUCCAUUCUUAGCCGCGCCUCUGUGGUGGCCACGGACUCCUGACGCUCCAGACUGCAGAAAACAAAAACAAGCAAACAAGCAUUAGUUAUGAGGUGCGUUCACCUUCACACUGCUACAUAGCCAAUGGUAAUGAGCCAAAUAAAUAGCAGACUCCAUCUAGCACGUUCAUUGGCUGAUUCAGCAGGCAUUGUAGAUCCCCGACUCAUCCUCGUUGCGUACCUGAGCUCAAGCCUUUAGUGUGGCUGGAUGUGUAGAAAAGAAAAAAAUACUCUUCACUCUACAUCUACCCUACACAGAGUUUGAUGCACCUAGUAAAAUAUAUAAUUCUAUUUAAUGGUCAGUGUUGCUGAAGUGAUGUUUUCUGCUGGCUAUUACUGGUUAUAUGUGCUCCCUUAACCCGUACUCUUAAACGGCACUGACCCCAAGCGGUUAGCAUCCACACCCAGCUGACUCCCCUGAAAUUAUAUAUUUUUUUGGUCUUUAAGUGGAGAAAAACAGGCCAUAUUUUCAUUGCCGAAAGGACACUCAAUUGAUGCAGUAUGCCCCUGUAGCCUGGCUGUAGUGCACAUCAAUGCCCGAUUCACAGCCCUCCGAACUGUUCAUUAAAAAUCAGCCCAGCUACCACCCAGCUACCACCCAGCUGCACAGUUGGGUCUUUGCCUGAGAGGAAUUUUCAAAUGCGAAGAAGCAGUGUAUUAAGGCUAGUGUUGCAGUUCAUUGCUUAAUUGGACAAAACAUAUAUCCAUCUGCUAAUGAUGACAACAGCUACAGACUGGUCCUUUGAUCCACAGGCUCUUGUGAACUGGGGCCCUUAUCAAAUCACUACGAUACUCAUACUUACAAAUGUCUUUAAUGUGGCAAAUGUUUGGGUAAAUAUCAGAGGAAAAGAAACAUCAACAAGCAAACACUUGCUGUACAAGAUUAUUUUUCCCCCCUUGUAAAUUGUUUUGUAGAAUGGCCAAGGAAAAUCUAAGAGAAGAAUUCAGUCUGACCUUAAAGGAAAUGAUCAAAUGAUAUUCCCUCCAAGUAUUAUCCUGCUUAGCCCCUUAUUUAGAAAUCAACAAACUGUGCAAUUGGUGAAAUUCAGGAUGUUUUUUAGACUAGAUGUUUGGUUGAGGCAUUAAAUUAAAAUCAGACUAAUAAAAUACUUUUGUAAACAUUUUAAUUACAACUUCGCAUUAACUUUGUUUCAGAGAAAAGCUCCACCUUCACAAUGAGAAAAUAGAGGAAAUAAUGACUAAUCAUUUUGAAAAAGGUUACAUAACAUUUCCUGUAGAUGUUUUAGAACAGCAAAAAAAAAGCAGAUGAAAUUGAACGCAGGGUUCUUAUGGCGAUCACACAUUGGAUUGUAUUGCACACAGUUCAGUUUUCAGGCUGGUUAUACCUAUGUGAUAUUGUAUGGUGGGAGUUGAGCAUGGUCAUAACCCAAAUGAACCAUGAUGCUGGAGGUGGUCAUAACCCACAUGGGUACAGGUAUUUUAGAAUGGUCUUCUUAACCCAGACAUUAUCACAAGCAGCCUUUUCUGGGCAUCAAUAAUCCAAGUGGUAAUUUAUGCACGGGUCUUAGGCUGUUGGUAACUCAACUGAUACUGUCUGCAAGUGUUUUUUUGUUGUUGUUAUAUAACCAAUGUGGUACCGCAGGCUGCAUUUUCAGGUGGUCAUAACCCAAAGAACUGCACGCAGGGCUGUCGUGACAGUGAUAAUCCGUACACGUGGUACAGCAUGCGGCGGAUUUCCCGGUGCUGCCAGGACUGCUUCAGCGAUAGCGGCCUCCAUUUUGCCCCACAGUCACAGCGACAGGAAAAGGCAAACAGGAAGGAGACGCGGUGUGGCAGUGUGAGGAGCUGACAUGAGCAGCAGUGCGGAAGAGCAGUCCACCCUCCUACUGGAGACGGCCGAGCUAGCGGCCUGCUGUGCACGCUAGCGGUCAUGCCCUUUCUCCUAAUGAGGACGAGGAAUGUCCCAGGAUACUGUUACCAUCCCUGCCCCCGGUACCCUGGUGUGCGUCAGGCCAGGAAGCUGUGCCUGCUCGGUGCCAUUUGUUAUUGGGGCGGGGGGCCUUUCCACAGGCAGUUACUUCAGAACCCCUCAGAACAAACACUUUUUUUGAAGAUGGAUUUACCACCCCCAACAAUGUCUUCUCUCCACUGAUACCAAGGAAACUGUGGCUUAUUACAUUUACGACAAAGAAAACGCACCCAAAAUGAUUUAAGAAGGGAGUUUUCAGGUAAAUGUACCAAUCAGACUAAGGGUUAUGAGCAAAUACACGCUGCUUACUGUCAGCCUGGAGUUCUACUACGAUGAAUACAAAACUGUGUUGCCCCCAAAAGGGUAGAGGUGAAGGUGGAAUACAAAACCCCUACUGGCAAUCUGAUAUAGCAAAAUCCACACAAAACCAGAGAUGUAAACAGCACCUAGGGUGGUACUAUGGGAAAACUGGAGAGAACAAAUGUUUAUCCACGCUGAAAGGCCAUACAAUGUAAUGUGUUCCUGAAAGGCAGAAAGUUUUUUCCUAUGAUACUUUUUAAAAAUAUAUGCUGACUUACCCCCCAGGACAAAAUGAAAAAUUUAUUUUAAAAGUACCAUAUAUAAUAAGUAAAGAACAUUCCUACGAACAAUGUAACACCUCUCAUUAAAAGAGAAACAUUACCUCCGAUUUUAUUUCUUUUACAGGGGUUGGCAAGGUGUGUGUGUGUGUGUGUGUGUGUCUUGUGGCGGCGGUGGUGGGGGGGGGCAGGGUUCAGUUCAGCUGCUGAUCUGAACCCCCACCACACCACCCGCAGGAAGUAGACCAGCUCUUUUCAGGGGUUCACGCCAAGUCAAAACCAGACUCAGCUGCAAACCAAAAAGGGUCUCUUUGAAAGCCCUCUGAAAGGACUGACCAGCAGGUGGAUGGAAAAUGCUGUCCAUUUCUUUCACGGGUUUGUAGCCAAGGAGGCUAAAUAAAGUUGAUUUUUUAAAAAUGAAACUGAUAUAACAUGUACUGCGGCUGUAAAAGUGAAUUAAACAAUACGACCAAUGAAAAUAUUGAAGGCCAAAUAAAAAUACUUAACCUCACAAUGUUA
Long non-coding RNA from Anguilla rostrata (American eel), 3220 nucleotides. RefSeq lists it as uncharacterized. The transcript is spliced from 2 exons. NCBI's taxonomy places the organism in Eukaryota, Metazoa, Chordata, Actinopteri, Anguilliformes, Anguillidae. The record is from RefSeq and is a predicted model, not a curated record.